Molecule: ribosomal RNA, 480 nt
Filed under: uncultured bacterium
Lineage: Bacteria
Description: bacterial SSU rRNA
Rfam family: Bacterial small subunit ribosomal RNA
Source: RNAcentral
UACGUGCCAGCAGCCGCGGUAAUACGGAAGGUCCAGGCGUUAUCCGGAUUUAUUGGGUUUAAAGGGAGUGUAGGCGGUUUGUUAAGCGUGUUGUGAAAUUUAGGUGCUCAACAUUUAACUUGCAGCGCGAACUGUCAGACUUGAGUACACGCAACGUAUGCGGAAUUCAUGGUGUAGCGGUGAAAUGCUUAGAUAUCAUGAAGAACUCCGAUUGCGAAGGCAGCAUACGGGAGUGUAACUGACGCUUAAGCUCGAAGGUGCGGGUAUCRAACAGGAUUAGAUACCCUGGUAGUCCGCACAGUAAACGAUGGAUGCCCGCUGUUGGUACCUGGUAUCAGCGGCUAAGCGAAAGCAUUAAGCAUCCCACCUGGGGAGUACGCCGGCAACGGUGAAACUCAAAGGAAUUGACGGGGGCCCGCACAAGCGGAGGAACAUGUGGUUUAAUUCGAUGAUACGCGAGGAACCUUACCCGGGCUUGAA